Molecule: unclassified non-coding RNA, 477 nt
Filed under: Bifidobacterium olomucense
Lineage: Bacteria; Bacillati; Actinomycetota; Actinomycetes; Bifidobacteriales; Bifidobacteriaceae
Description: Bifidobacterium sp. VB26 partial 16S-23S ribosomal RNA intergenic spacer
Source: RNAcentral
CCUUUCUACGGAGUUUUCAGGCCAGUGUUCGCUGGCCGGUGUGCGCCCCGCGGGCCGGAUCGUCCGGUCGUCGUUCGGGGUUGCUGGUGUGGAAGAGAUCAUGGGCUUUCGGUCUGCCGGUCGUGCGGUGGCCGUGGAAGCGGUAUGGAUGCGCUUUUGGGCUCCCGGAUCGCCACCCCGAGGCUUUAGUCUUGGUGCGAUUCGCUGCCCAUCAUGGCGGGCGUGCGGGCUGGUUCCCGUGCGGUCUGGUCGUGGUGGUGCGUGGUGGCUUGAGAACUGGAUAGUGGACGCGAGCAAUUGGAGGAGCCAUUUGUUGUGGUUUCUUCUUUUGCUGUCGAUUUCGAUUCGAACUCGAAACUUUGUUUUGUGUUCGUUCGAUCGUUUAGUGUGAUCAUUUUUGAUGUGUUGUGAUGUGUCGUCUGGGAAUUCGCUAGAUUUGAAUCAUUGAUUCUUGCCGGUUAUGUGGCCGUGUGGCCG